Molecule: ribosomal RNA, 321 nt
Filed under: Cremnochorites capensis (Cape triplefin)
Lineage: Eukaryota; Metazoa; Chordata; Actinopteri; Blenniiformes; Tripterygiidae
Description: partial 12S ribosomal RNA
Rfam family: Bacterial small subunit ribosomal RNA
Source: RNAcentral
CAUUUGCUAUUCGCCCGGGUACUACGAGCACUAGCUUAAAACCCAAAGGACUUGGCGGUGCUUAAGACCCCCCUAGAGGAGCCUGUUCUAGAACCGAUAACCCCCGUUGAACCUCACCCUCCCUUGUUUAUCCCGUCUAUAUACCGCCGUCGUCAGCUUACCCUGUGAAGGAACCACAGUAAGCAAGAUUAGCAAACCUCAAAACGUCAGGUCGAGGUGUAGCGAAUGGGAGGGGAAGAAAUGGGCUACAUUCCUUAAAACGAAUAGUGUAAUGAAACGUACAUUGGAAGGAGGAUUUAGCAGUAAGCAGAAAAUAGAGAG